CCCGGCCAAGGGGCGGGCGUCACAUGGUGGGCGCUGUGGCUGCGGCUGCGGCUGCAGCGGCCCCAGGUGCAAACAGACUGCCGCCGAAUGUGAGCAGCGAGGCGAGGGGUCGAGGUAGCGAGGAGUCAGGGUGGCCCGCAGCAGGAAGACAGAAGGCGUGGAGACAGACUGGCGUUUUGCCUCAGAGGAAGAAGUGGGGUCCCCUCUCCCAUUCUGUGAGCAAGUGCCAGUUCCAGUGAUUCGUACUUUCAUGUCCGAGUUGGAAACCUUGGCCCGACGGUGAUGGACUGCACGACUUGCUGGACUCCCAAGUCCGAAGUUCCUGCGGCAGCGCUUGCUUUGUGGCGCCACCUGGUGGGCAGUGUGCGAGGUUGCGGGGGGCGGGGUAGACGGUCUAAUCACGCCCAGGCGCCAGCCUCUGAAACCCCCCAAAAGAACAAAAUAGUAAUUAAAAGCCACAAAAUUGUGCUAGUGCGCACCAUCUGAAGCACCCUUUCCUAAAGACAUAACAUGUCGCUGAAAGAACUUGUUAAAACAACUGUCUGAUAGAAAACAAG
RNAcentral lists this long non-coding RNA (557 nucleotides) under Homo sapiens (human). RNAcentral describes it as "HSALNT0307156". The record is from RNAcentral. Lineage: Eukaryota; Metazoa; Chordata; Mammalia; Primates; Hominidae.